Molecule: unclassified non-coding RNA, 399 nt
Filed under: soil metagenome
Description: partial contains 5.8S ribosomal RNA, internal transcribed spacer 2, and large subunit ribosomal RNA
Rfam family: 5.8S ribosomal RNA (bases 1-120)
Source: RNAcentral
GAUGAAGAACGUAGCGAAAUGCGAUACUUGGUGUGAAUUGCAGAAUCCCGUGAACCAUCGAGUCUUUUAACGCAAGUUGCGCCCGAAGCCUCGGCUAAGAGCACGUCUGCCUGGGCGUCACGCAUCGCGUCUCCCCCAAACCGCCAAGGCGGAGGGGAAGGAAGAUGGCUUCCCGUGCCUCACCCGGCGCGGUUGGCCUAAAUUUGGAGCCCGCGGCACUUAGCUCUUGCGGCGAUAGGUGGUGAACAAGGCCUUGGCCGUGCAAACAACCCGCUGCGAAGCUCUAUGUCACGUGCGCUCGUCGGACCCUUUGAAGUUGCCUUCGGUGACUUAAAACCUUUGCGACCCCAGGUCAGGCGGGGCUACCCGCUGAAUUUAAGCAUAUCAAUAAGCGGAGGA